This 1862-nucleotide long non-coding RNA is filed under the name Equus caballus (horse). Its description in RNAcentral is "lncRNA (ENSECAG00000058734.1)". The record is from RNAcentral. Lineage: Eukaryota; Metazoa; Chordata; Mammalia; Perissodactyla; Equidae.
GCCCGCCCGGGGCCAGGCUGAGGCUCCGGACACCGUCUGUUUCCGGGGGAACAGCAGUCGAGGAUGCGCCCGCACAGAGACACAGGACUGAACUGGUGAUGCACAGCAUCGGAGAAGGGUCCGAAGGGCCUCUUCCUGACCUCUCGACCAGUGGAUGUCUGGUGGCUCCAGCACUGUCCUGUCUCCACUAGCUUCCCUUGGCACUUUUGUUGAAUGGACUGGCCAGAUACAGUGACGGCUGGUCUUGGAGCUGUGGUUGGAGGUCUCAGGCUGCCUCUGGGCUUAACCCCUCCUUGAGUUUGUUGACGAAGGUCGAAGCCUGAGCACCAGUGACGUUUCCAGCUGCUGGCCGCCACGAAGACGGGGCAGCACAAGUUCCACGGCAGCUCAGAAGGUUAGCUCGAGCUUCAGCCUGGCAGCCAACGAUCACCGGGACGACCGGUCCUGACCCAGCUGCUCAGCUCUCGUGGAGCCAACUUAAUUACACAGUUGGAACAGCUGCUCGAGCCGGCCAAUGACACAGGGCAAGAAUCAGUCAAGGGAGAAACAAGGCGGGAUUAAUCUGGGGUCUCACUCGUUAAGACCUCCUGCUGUCAUCCCUUGCCAAGCCACUGAGCUGUCACUUCUUAGAAAAUGAUCACAUACCUCCAGCUGCUCUUCCUAAUUCCCUUGAUUUUGCAGAAAUCAUAACAACCCCAGGAGUCGUCAAAAGCCCGGAGCACGUAAUUUGUUCCACUCAGGAAAAUCCUUCCAAGGAGCCUGGGGGUAGUCCACAGGGCCCGGCCUUCUCUCCUUCCACCUUCCUGCCUGCCUCUUCUCGUCCCCUCUGGCUGCUGGAGUGCGGCUGAAGGUGGGCGUCAGAGACACAGUCAGAUCAGAAGCGCCUGUCGACGCGCUCAUGGAGAAACCCGUGCUCUCCAUUCAUUUUGUCCUUGCAGUGACCUUGAGAGGAGGCUCCCCCCCACUACACAGGUGGAGGCUGGGACUCUGCAGACCACGUCUCUGCUUUGUCUGUGGCUCUGUGCUCCAAGGAGAUGCUGGGGCGGGAUGCGGGGGGCAGCACCGGCCUCUUCCAGUCUGCCUCCUGGUUCUGUCAGCAUCACCCAGUCAGAGGUUUUCACCCCAGCUGCAGGAAUUUUCCGGACUCCCAGAACCAGCCCAUCAGAAACACAAGCAUCAGCCAACUGGCACCCGCUUCCCAGGGGCCUGGUCCCGGUCAUGCAGGGCCCCUGCUCUGAGCUUCCAGGUUCUGGACUUGUCCUCGUUGUUCCGCUGGCCCUGGGGCAGGGCUGCUUCCCAAAGCCACCCUCUCUCUGGUGCCCCGCUGUCCCCCUUUUACCUCUGCAGGCCUCUGAUACCCAUUUAACCAAUCCCCUCUAUUGAAUUCUUUUCUGUUAAAAUUACUGGCUUGGUUUCUGUUUUCCUAAUACACAUGAGAGCAAUAGGAUUCUAAGACAAGUGUGUCUGACCUCAAAGCCGGGCUCUCGACCCCUUCUCUGUGCUAUUCCUCACCCCCUUUUGCAACCUGGCGAAAUCUUUGCUCGACCAAACUUUACUCAAGCUCCUCAACCUUCUCCCAGGCCCUAAAAUCUAGUUUCAGCAAGAACCGUGCUGAGUCAGUUUAACCAGCACCCCACCCUCGAGGUCUGAUCGGGUUCCUCACCCUCCACCACCCCCAGUGAUGUCUGACCCCAGCCUGCCUUCAGCAAGCGUCCUGUCAGGUCGGCUUAGCCAGAACCAACUCACCCCGGAUGUUUCCUCUUAGCCCGUCACUGACCCCACCCCGCUCCUUGGCUGAGUUCCCACUUGCACAGGCUGUGUUCAGAGUUGAGCCCAGUCUCUCUCUCCCUGUAAAAUCCCGU